AUUGAACGCUGGCGGCAGGCCUAACACAUGCAAGUCGAACGGUAACAGGAAACAGCUUGCUGUUUCGCUGACGAGUGGCGGACGGGUGAGUAAUGUCUGGGAAACUGCCUGAUGGAGGGGGAUAACUACUGGAAACGGUAGCUAAUACCGCAUAACGUCGCAAGACCAAAGAGGGGGACCCUCGGGCCUCUUGCCAUCGGAUGUGCCCAGAUGGGAUUAGCUUGUUGGUGGGGUAACGGCUCACCAAGGCGACGAUCCCUAGCUGGUCUGAGAGGAUGACCAGCCACACUGGAACUGAGACACGGUCCAGACUUCUACGGGAGGCAGCAGUGGGGAAUAUUGCACAAUGGGCGCAAGCCUGAUGCAGCCAUGCCGCGUGUAUGAAGAAGGCCUUCGGGUUGUAAAGUACUUUCAGCGGGGAGGAAGGGAGUAAAGUUAAUACCUUUGCUCAUUGACGUUACCCGCAGAAGAAGCACCGGCUAACUCCGUGCCAGCAGCCGCGGUAAUACGGAGGGUGCAAGCGUUAAUCGGAAUUACUGGGCGUAAAGCGCACGCAGGCGGUUUGUUAAGUCAGAUGUGAAAUCCCCGGGCUCAACCUGGGAACUGCAUCUGAUACUGGCAAGCUUGAGUCUCGUAGAGGGGGGUAGAAUUCCAGGUGUAGCGGUGAAAUGCGUAGAGAUCUGGAGGAAUACCGGUGGCGAAGGCGGCCCCCUGGACGAAGACUGACGCUCAGGUGCGAAAGCGUGGGGAGCAAACAGGAUUAGAUACCCUGGUAGUCCACGCCGUAAACGAUGUCGACUUGGAGGUUGUGCCCUUGAGGCGUGGCUUCCGGAGCUAACGCGUUAAGUCGACCGCCUGGGGAGUACGGCCGCAAGGUUAAAACUCAAAUGAAUUGACGGGGGCCCGCACAAGCGGUGGAGCAUGUGGUUUAAUUCGAUGCAACGCGAAGAACCUUACCUGGUCUUGACAUCCACGGAAGUUUUCAGAGAUGAGAAUGUGCCUUCGGGAACCGUGAGACAGGUGCUGCAUGGCUGUCGUCAGCUCGUGUUGUGAAAUGUUGGGUUAAGUCCCGCAACGAGCGCAACCCUUAUCCUUUGUUGCCAGCGGUCCGGCCGGGAACUCAAAGGAGACUGCCAGUGAUAAACUGGAGGAAGGUGGGGAUGACGUCAAGUCAUCAUGGCCCUUACGACCAGGGCUACACACGUGCUACAAUGGCGCAUACAAAGAGAAGCGACCUCGCGAGAGCAAGCGGACCUCAUAAAGUGCGUCGUAGUCCGGAUUGGAGUCUGCAACUCGACUCCAUGAAGUCGGAAUCGCUAGUAAUCGUGGAUCAGAAUGCCACGGUGAAUACGUUCCCGGGCCU
RNAcentral lists this ribosomal RNA (1363 nucleotides) under uncultured bacterium. RNAcentral describes it as "bacterial SSU rRNA". It matches the Rfam family "Bacterial small subunit ribosomal RNA", at positions 28 to 1381 of the family's 1533-position model. The record is from RNAcentral.